Pungitius pungitius (ninespine stickleback) is the source of this 805-nucleotide long non-coding RNA. RefSeq lists it as uncharacterized. The record is from RefSeq and is a predicted model, not a curated record. NCBI's taxonomy places the organism in Eukaryota, Metazoa, Chordata, Actinopteri, Perciformes, Gasterosteidae. The transcript has 3 exons.
AUCCACCAGGUUUCUUUGAAGAGGCGCUGUCCUUCUGUCCACCAUGUGCCGGAUUCCAGUACUGAAAUCCUGAGGUUUCGUGGAUCAUGGUGUGAGAAGUGCUCAUAAAGGGAGGCAUGGAUGAGGAGAUCUUGGAGGUUUUUAUUCCUCCUAUUGGCCGAAAUCACCCGGAAGUGGGUCAAUGGCAGUACGUGGUCUUGGGUCUUCCUGAAGUUCCUUUUGACAGCGGAGAUGAGGAUCCUAGAGGCCGGGGAGAAGGUGGCCACAAAGGGGACCAGGUGGUGAGUAGACUUCUGUUCUGUUCUUUGAGUUUGGAACUGCUGGUUCACUUCUUUCGCGAUGUUGCGGAGAAAUGUACGGCUAUAUCCCCUGCGCAACAGCGCUUGGAAGAGUGUUUUAGUGGCCGACCGAACAUCCAGCUCUGCUGCACAGAUCCUGUGGAAUCUGAUCAGCUGCGAUUUUACGAUGCCUCGAAAAGUAUGUUUCGGAUGGUAACUGGAUCUGUGCAGCAGGGCAUGGGUGUCGGUCGGUUUGAAGUAAACCCUAGUUCCAAGUCUGUGUCUCCCCUUGUCCCCUGGAAUGAUGUAAACUUCUGUGUCUAGAAACUCUAUUUUUUCUGUUUGUAGAUUGUAUUUGACAGAGAUGGAGGGAUGGUGAUUAUUGAGAAUGGAAAUGAAUGUCUCAAAGUCCUCCACUGAAUGUUCCCAGAUACCAAAGAUGUCGUCCAGGUACCUGGCAUAGAAGGUCCUCCACAAUUUCCCGGAUUUGAAUCUGGGUCUGGAGUUGUAGAGGUUGUGCCAGAGGU